UACGGAGGAUGCGAGCGUUAUCCGGAUUUAUUGGGUUUAAAGGGUGCGUAGGCGGACUGUCAAGUCAGCGGUAAAAUUGAGAGGCUCAACCUCUUCCCGCCGUUGAAACUGGUGGUCUUGAGUGGAUGAGAAGUACGCGGAAUGCGUGGUGUAGCGGUGAAAUGCAUAGGUAUCACGCAGAACUCCGAUUGCGAAGGCAGCGUACCGGCAUCCAACUGACGCUGAGGCACGAAAGCGUGGGGAUCAAACAGG
Molecule: ribosomal RNA, 252 nt
Filed under: uncultured bacterium
Lineage: Bacteria
Description: partial 16S ribosomal RNA
Rfam family: Bacterial small subunit ribosomal RNA
Source: RNAcentral